CCUACGGGGGGCUGCAGUGGGGGAUAUUGCACAAUGGGGGAAACCCUGAUGCAGCGACGCCGCGUGUGGGAAGACGGUCCUCUGGAUUGUAAACCACUGUCCCCAGGGACGAAGAUGACGGUACCUGGGGAGGAAGCUCCGGCUAACUACGUGCCAGCAGCCGCGGUAAUACGUAGGGAGCGAGCGUUGUCCGGAAUUACUGGGUGUAAAGGGAGCGUAGGCGGGACUGCAAGUUGGGUGUCAAAUCUACCGGCUCAACCGGUAGCCGCACUCAAAACUGCAGUUCUUGAGUGAAGUAGAGGCAGGCGGAAUUCCUAGUGUAGCGGUGAAAUGCGUAGAUAUUAGGAGGAACACCAGUGGCGAAGGCGGCCUGCUGGGCUUUUACUGACGCUGAGGCUCGAAAGCGUGGGGAGCGAACAGGAUUAGAUACCCCAGUAGUC
This 440-nucleotide ribosomal RNA is filed under the name uncultured bacterium. RNAcentral's name for it is "partial 16S ribosomal RNA". It matches the Rfam family "Bacterial small subunit ribosomal RNA", at positions 338 to 795 of the family's 1533-position model. The record is from RNAcentral.